This 489-nucleotide ribosomal RNA is filed under the name uncultured bacterium. Its description in RNAcentral is "partial 16S ribosomal RNA". It matches the Rfam family "Bacterial small subunit ribosomal RNA", at positions 28 to 507 of the family's 1533-position model. The record is from RNAcentral.
GAUGAACGCUAGCUACAGGCUUAACACAUGCAAGUCGAGGGGCAGCAUGAACUUAGCUUGCUAAGUUUGAUGGCGACCGGCGCACGGGUGAGUAACACGUAUCCAACCUGCCGAUGACUCGGGGAUAGCCUUUCGAAAGAAAGAUUAAUACCCGAUGGCAUAGUUCUUCCGCAUGGUAGAACUAUUAAAGAAUUUCGGUCAUCGAUGGGGAUGCGUUCCAUUAGGUUGUUGGCGGGGUAACGGCCCACCAAGCCUUCGAUGGAUAGGGGUUCUGAGAGGAAGGUCCCCCACAUUGGAACUGAGACACGGUCCAAACUCCUACGGGAGGCAGCAGUGAGGAAUAUUGGGCAAUGGACGAGAGUCUGAACCAGCCAAGUAGCGUGAAGGAUGACUGCCCUAUGGGUUGUAAACUUCUUUUAUACGGGAAUAAAGUGAGGCACGUGUGCCUUUUUGUAUGUACCGUAUGAAUAAGGAUCGGCUAACUCCGUG